This 398-nucleotide ribosomal RNA is filed under the name uncultured bacterium. RNAcentral's name for it is "bacterial SSU rRNA". It matches the Rfam family "Bacterial small subunit ribosomal RNA", at positions 107 to 507 of the family's 1533-position model. The record is from RNAcentral.
UGAGUAACGCGUAACAUGACCUGCCUGUCAGAAGGGGAUAGCCCUGGGAACUGGGAUUAAUACCUAUGGUAUUGAUAUUAUGAAUGAUAUCAAUUAAAGUUGAGGCGCUGACAGAUGGAUGUGCGUCUGAUUAGCUAGUUGGUAGGGUAACGGCCUACCAAGGCGACGAUCAGUAGGGGCGUGAGAGCGUGGUCCCCCACACGGGUACUGAGACACGGACCCGACUCCUACGGGAGGCAGCAGUAAGGAAUAUUGGUCAAUGCCCGCAAGGGUGAACCAGCCAUUCCGCGUGGAGGAUGAAGGCCCUAUGGGUUGUAAACUUCUUUUAGAUGGGAAGAAAAUGCUAGAUGUAUCUGGUACUGACGGUACCAUCAGAAUAAGCACCGGCUAACUCCGUG